Oncorhynchus tshawytscha (Chinook salmon) is the source of this 6681-nucleotide long non-coding RNA. NCBI's taxonomy places the organism in Eukaryota, Metazoa, Chordata, Actinopteri, Salmoniformes, Salmonidae. The record is from Ensembl.
GACGGAAGCUAAACUGUUACAUUUAUACUGUGUUCUAUAUAAAGCUUGUUUUGCCUACUGUAGGAUCAUGUUGGUUUUGGAUUGUUGCUAGCUUUCAGGAUUCUUAAAGUGUUGUAGGUUUACUUUGGUCACUGGAACCUGGACUAGUGUAGGUCUGUGUGAACAGAAAAGGAUCUGUCUGUAUGGUGUGACUGUGCUUCCAUUGACCUUGUUCUGGUCAAUAAGACUUGUGUCCCUCUCAACCGUACUGUUCUGGGUUUCACUGGAAAUAACCGAUCCCUUUACACACACUUGACCCUUUCUGAUCAGCCACACUGGCAGAAUCACACGUACGCACACACUCACAAACAAACAAACAAACAAAGCAUCAUCAAUGGAUGGAAAGAAGCAGAUCAGAGAGAGAGGGAGAGUGGAACAUAUCAGCUUACCACUGACCAUGUAAACUGAGUCUAACUGGUUUAGGGCUGUUGCCAUUACACACAUGUUUUCAUGGGUUUGCACGACAUCGUAUGUCUUGGUCAAGUUAUGAUCACACCUGAUCUGUUGUGUUGUGUGUCAGCAAAUGUCAGAGCAGUCGUGUGUGUGUGUGUGUGUGUGUGUGUGUGUGUGUGUGUGUGUACCAAGCCACUAGACUGACCAUGCUCUUAUCAGCACGUGGCACAGUGAAGACGCCAAGCCACUAGACUGACCAUGCUCUUAUCAGCACGUGGCACAGUGAAGACGCCAAGCCACUAGACUGACCAUGCUCUUAUCAGCACGUGGCACAAGGAAGACGCCAAGCCACUAGACUGACCAUGCUCUUAUCAGCACGUGGCACAGUGAAGACGCCAAGCCACUCGACUGACCAUGCUCUUAUCAGCACGUGGCACAGUGAAGACGCACUAGAAGCCACUCGACUGACCAUGCUCUUAUCAGCACGUGGCACAGUGAAGACGCCAAGCCACUAGACUGACCAUGCUCUUAUCAGCACGUGGCACAGUGAAGACGCCAAGCCACUAGACUGACCAUGCUCUUAUCAGCACGUGGCACAGUGAAUACGCCAAGCCACUAGACUGACCAUGCUCUUAUCAGCACGUGGCACAGUGAAGACGCCAAGCCACUAGACUGACCAUGCUCUUAUCAGCACGUGGCACAGUGAAGACGCCAUACUCCCCUGAACAUGCUCUUAUCAGCACGUGGCACAGUAAAGACGCCAUACUCCCCUGAACGACCACUACAUUGGUCCCUCCAUGUCUACAGGUUCUCUUCCUUCAUUCAAAACAUGUUGUAUCACUAAAUUGACCCCAACCCUGCUGUGUAGCUCUAUAGUGCUUUAUAGUUUGCUUGAGUAAUUCAUGGAUUGAUAGAUUGAUUGACAACCCUAGUUCUGUAGUGCUGUCCCCUCCUCUCUCUCUCUCAAUCCUCCAUCUCUCUCUUUAUAACCCCCCUUAUCCCCUCUGUGUGCAAUGUCCCGGGUCCCUCUCAGUUCAUUCAUGCGGAUCCAGGAAGUGCAUUCCUCGCCACAUCCCCAGGCUAUGCUCCAUCACACCACCCAUUCCUGCCACCCUAUCACACACAGCACUGCCCAGUAGUUUCUAGAUGGCCACGCUAGAAAGGACAGAAGUGACAAUAUCAUCAGAACUGAUGAGCAUGUGCAUAAAUGAUACGUGUCAUUGACUAGAUAAAAGACAGAAGUUUGGCCCAUGUCAUUGACUAGAUAAUAUACUGAGAGGUUUGGCCCAUGUCAUUGACUAGAUAAUAUACUGAGAGGUUUGGCCCUUGUCAUUGACUAGAUAAUAUACUGAGAGGUUUGGCCCAUGUCAUUGACUAGAUAAAAUACAGAAGUUUGGCCCAUGUCAUUGACUAGAUAAAAGACAGAAGUUUGGCCCAUGUUAUUGACUAGAUAAAAUACUGAGAGGUUUGGCCCAUGUCAUUGACUAGAUAAAAUACUGAGAAGUUUGGCCCAUGUCAUUGACUAGAUAAAAGACAGAAGUUUGGCCCAUGUUAUUGACUAGAUAAAAUACUGAGAAGUUUGGCCCAUGUUAUUGACUAGAUAAAAUUGUCACACCCUGGUCUAAGUAUUUUGUGUUUUUCUUCAUGUAUUGGGUCAGGCCAGGGUGUGGCAUGGGGUUUUUGUAUUGUGGUGUGUUUUGUCUUGGGGUUUUGGUGUGUAUGUAUUGGGAUUGCAGCUAGUGGGGUUAUCUAGCAAAGUCUAUGGCUGUCUGGAGUGGUUCUCAAUCAGAGGCAGGUGUUUUAUCGUUGUCUCUGAUUGGGAACCAUAUUUAGGCAGCCAUAUUCUUUGAGUUUGUCGUGGGUGAUUGUCCUUAGUGUCCUUGUUCCUGUCUGUGUUAGGUUACACAAUUAUAGGCUGUUUCGGUUUUCGUUACGUUUAUUGUUUUUGUAGUGUUUGUUAUUGAUUCGUGUUUUACGUUCGUUAUUAAACAUGGAUCGCAAUCUACACGCUGCAUUUUGGUCCGAUCCUUGUUCUACCUCUUCGUCAGAGGAGGAGAUAGAAGAGAGCCGUAACAGAAUCACCCACCACAAACGGACCAAGCAGCGUGUAAACAGGCAGGAGCCACAGGAGAGGCAACAGAGGCAGCAGCAGCAGCAGCAGCAGCAGUGGGAGAGGCUGCACUAUUUGGAGGAAUUGGAAGGAAGAGGACCCUGGGCUCAGCCAGGAGAAUAUCGCCGCCCCAAAGAAGAACUGGAGGCGGCGAAAGCGGCGAGGCGCUGGUAUGAGGAGGCAGUGCGGCGUCGUGGAUGGAAGCCCGAGAGUCAGCCCCAAAAAUGUAUUGGGGGGGGCUCACAGGAAGUAGGGCGAAGCCAGGUAGGCGACCUGCGUCAACUUCCUGUGGUUACCGGGGGGCUAGAGAGACCGGGCAGGCACCGUGUUAUGCUGUGGAGCGCACGGUGUCUCCAGUGCGGGUGCACAGCCCGGUGCGGUACAUUCCAGCUCCGCGUAUCGGCCGGGCUAGAGUGGGCAUCGAGCCAAGUGACAUGGCACCAGCCUUGCGCACGGUGUCCCAGGUUCGCCUGCAUAGCCCAGUGCGGGCUAUUCCACCUUGCCGCACUGGCAGGGCGACCGGGACCAUUCAACCGGGUAAGGUUGGGCAGGCUCGGUGCUCAAGAGCUCCAGUGCGCCUGCACGGCCCGGUCUAUCCGUCACCACCUCCACGCACCAGCCCUCCGGUGGCAGUCCCCCGCACCAGGCUGUCUCUCCGGUCCAUCCUUACGGGGGCUCCCUCCUCUCCAGCACUGCCGGAGCCUUCCUCCUCUCCAGCGCUGCUGGAGUCUCCCGCCUGUUCAGCGCAGCCAGAGCUGCCAGCCUGCAUGGAGCAGCCAGAGCUGUCAGUCUGCAUGAAGCAGCCAGAGCUGUCAGUCUGCAUGAAGCAGCCAGAGCUGUCAGCCUGCAUGGAGCAGCCAGAGCUGUCGGUCUGCAUGGAGCAGCCAGAGCUGUCGGUCUGCAUGGAGCAGCCAGAGCUGUCAGUCUGCAUGGAGCAGCCAGAGAUGUCAGUCUGCAUGAAGCAGCCAGAGAUGCCAGUCUGCACGGAGCUGCCAGUCUGCAAGGAGCUGCCAGUCUGCAAGGAGCUGCCAGUCUGCAAGGAGCUGCCAGUCUGCAAGGAGCUGCCAGUCUGCAAGGAGCUGUCAGUCUGCAAGGAGCUGUCAGUCUGUAAGGAGCUGUCAGUCUGUAAGGAGCUGCCAGUCUGCAAGGAGCUGCCAGUCUGCACGGAGCCGCCAGAGCUGCCAGUCUGUAAGAAGCCGCCAGAGCUGUCAGCCUACAUGGAGCAGCCAGAGCCGCCAGUCAGCGUGGAGCAGCCAGAGCCGCCAGUCAGCUUGGAGCAGCCAGAUCUUUCAGUCUGCCAGGAUCCGCCAGUCGGCCAGACUCUUCCAGAUCCGCCAGUCAGCCAGACUCUUCCAGAUCUGCCAGACUCUUCCAGAUCUGCCAGUCAGCCAGACUCUUCCAGAUCUGCCAGUCAGCCAGACUCUUCCAGAUCUGCCAGUCAGCCAGACUCUUCCAGAUCUGCCAGUCAGCCAGACUCUUCCAGAUCCGCCAGUUUACCAGACUCUUCCAGAUCCGCCAGUCAACCAGACUCUUCCAGAUCCGCCAGUCAACCAGACUCUUCCAGAUCUGCCAGUCAGCCAGACUCUUCCAGAUCUGCCAGUCAGCCAGACUCUUCCAGAUCCGCCAGUCAGCCAGACUCUUCCAGAUCCGCCAGUCAGCCAGACUCUUCCAGAUCCGCCAGUCAGCCAGACUCUUCCAGAUCCGCCAGUCAGCCAGACUCUUCCAGAUCCGCCAGUCAGCCAGACUCUUCCAGAUCCGCCAGUCUACCAGACUCUUCCAGAUCCGCCAGUCUACCAGACUCUUCCAGAUCCGCCAGUCAACCAGAUCCGCCAGUCAACCAGACUCUUCCAGAUCCGCCAGUCAACCAGACUCUUCCAGAUCCGCCAGUCAGCCAGACUCUUCCAGAUCCGCCAGUCAGCCAGACUCUUCCAGAUCCGCCAGUCAGCCAGACUCUUCCAGAUCCGCCAGUCAGCCGGGAUCUGCCAGAUCUGCCAGUCGGCCGGGAUCCGCCAGUCGGCCAGGAUCCGCCAGUCGGCCAGGAUCCGCCAGUCGGCCAGGAUCCGCCAGUCGGCCAGGAUCUGCCAGUCAGCCAGGAUCUGCUGAAACCACCAGCCAGCCAGGAUCUGGUAGAUCUACCUACCUGCCUGAGCUUCCUCUCACUCCCGAGCUUCCUCUCACUCCCGAGCUUCCUCUCACUCCCGAGCUUCCUCUCACUCCCGAGCUUCCUCUCACUCCCGAGCUUUCUCUCACUCCCGAGCUUUCUCUCACUCCCGAGCUUUCUCUCACUCCCGAGCUUCCCCUCAGUCCAGUGGGUUUCUGGGUGAGGACUACUAGGCCAUGGUCGGCGGCGAGGGUGGACUAUCCAGGGACGGGAGGAGAGGGGACUAAGACAUUGACUGAGUGGGUUCCACGUCCCGCGCCGGAGCCGCCACCAUGGACAGACGCCCACCCGGACCCUCCUUAUUGUUUUGAGGUGCGUUCGGGAGUCCGCACCUUAGGGGGGUUCUGUCACGCCCUGGUCUAAGUAUUUUGUGUUUUUCUUCAUGUAUUGGGUCAGGCCAGGGUGUGGCAUGGGGUUUUUGUAUUGUGGUGUGUUUUGUCUUGGGGUUUUGGUGUGUAUGUAUUGGGAUUGUAGCUAGUGGGGUUAUCUAGCAAAGUCUAUGGCUGUCUGGAGUGGUUCUCAAUCAGAGGCAGGUGUUUUAUCGUUGUCUCUGAUUGGGAACCAUAUUUAGGCAGCCAUAUUCUUUGAGUUUGUCGUGGGUGAUUGUCCUUAGUGUCCUUGUUCCUGUCUAUGUGUUAGGUUACACAAGUAUAGGCUGUUUCGGUUUUCGUUACGUUUAUUGUUUUUGUAGUGUUUGUUAUUGAUUCGUGUUUUACGUUCGUUAUUAAACAUGGAUCGCAAUCUACACGCUACAUUUUGGUCCGACUCUCCUUCACACCUAGAAAACCGUAACAAAAAUACUGAGAAGUUUGGCCCAUGUUAUUGACUAGAUAAAAUACUGAGAAGUUUGGCCCAUGUUAUUGACUAGAUAAAAUACUGAGAAGUUUGGCCCAUGUCAUUGACUAGAUAAAAUACUGAGAAGUUUGGCCCAUGUCAUUGACUAGAUAAAAUACUGAGAAGUUUGGCCCUUGUCAUUGACGUCACCGUCCUGACCUUUAUUUUCUAUGGUAGAGUAGGUCAGUGCAUGACUAGGGGUUUAGUCUAGUUUAUAUUUUCUUUGUGGUGUUCUAGUUUGGUUUUCUAUGUUGGUGUUUUGGUAUGAUUCCCAAUUAGAGGCAGCUGGCUAUUGUUGUCUCUAAUUGGAGAUCAUACUUAAGUAGCAUUUUCCCACCUGUGUGUUAUGGGAUAUUGUUUGGAGUUAGUGCACGUAGCACCUCUGUAGUCACGCUUUGUUUGUUUAUUGUUUUAAGUUUCACUAAUAAUAAAGUAUGUGGAACUCAUAUCGCGCUGGGUCUUGGUCCGACCAUUAUUACGACGAACGUGACAAUUGACUAGAUAAAAUAUUGAAGUUUGGCACGUCAUUGACUAAAUAAAAGACAUUCAACGCCUGUCUCUUGCUCACUCAACACUGCUACUCCUACGUCAGUCUUGUCAUGGGACUCAGUUGCACGGAACACCAUAGAACGCCAUCACCAUGGCAACACUCAAAGCCAGACAAAACACUCUGGGACCACACAAUCCCAAAACACGAGAGAGAGAGAGAGAGAGAGAGAGAGACAAAAGGAAAGCUUUGACUAUGUACAGACUCAGUGAGCAUAGCCUUGACAUUGAGAAAGGUCGCCGUAGGCAGACGUGGCUCUCAAGACAAGACACACUGUGCACACUGCCCACAAAAUGAGGUGGAAACGGAGCUGCAUUUCCUAACCUCCUGCCAAACAUAUGACCAUAUUAGAGACACAUAUAUCCCUCAGAUUACACAGAUCCACAAAGAAAUUAACAAAACAAACCUGAUUUUGAUAAACUCCCAUAUCUUCUGGGUGAAAUACCACAACAGCGAGAUUUGUAACCUGUUGCCACAAGAAAAGGGAAACCAGUGAAGAACAAACACCAUUGUAAAUACAACCCAUAUUUAUGUUUAUUAAUUUUCCCUUUUGUACUUUAACCAUUUGCACAUCGUUACAACACUGUAUAUACAUAA